UACGGAGGGUGCAAGCGUUGUCCGGAUUUAUUGGGUUUAAAGGGUGCGUAGGCGGCCUUUUAAGUCAGUGGUGAAAGCCAACAGCUCAACUGUUGAACUGCCAUUGAUACUGAAAGGCUUGAGUACAGACGAGGUAGGCGGAAUUGAAGAUGUAGCGGUGAAAUGCAUAGAUAUCUUCAAGAACACCGAUUGCGUAGGCAGCUUACUAGGCUGUAACUGACGCUGAGGCACGAAAGCGUGGGGAGCGAAC
Molecule: ribosomal RNA, 250 nt
Filed under: uncultured bacterium
Lineage: Bacteria
Description: partial 16S ribosomal RNA
Rfam family: Bacterial small subunit ribosomal RNA
Source: RNAcentral